Molecule: unclassified non-coding RNA, 305 nt
Filed under: plant metagenome
Description: partial contains 5.8S ribosomal RNA, internal transcribed spacer 2, and large subunit ribosomal RNA
Rfam family: 5.8S ribosomal RNA (bases 1-105)
Source: RNAcentral
GAAAUGCGAUAAGUAAUGUGAAUUGCAGAAUUCAGUGAAUCAUCGAAUCUUUGAACGCACAUUGCGCCCGCCAGUAUUCUGGCGGGCAUGCCUGUUCGAGCGUCAUUUCAACCAUCAAGCCCCCGGCUUGUGUUGGGGACCUGCGGCUGCCCGCAGGCCCUGAAAAACAGUGGCGGGCUCGCUGUCACACCGAGCGUAGUAGCAUACAUUCUCGCUCAGGGCGUGCUGCGGGUUCCGGCCGUUAAACGACCUUCAUAACCCAAGGUUGACCUCGGAUCAGGUAGGAAGAUCCGCUGAACUUAAGC